Molecule: ribosomal RNA, 465 nt
Filed under: uncultured bacterium
Lineage: Bacteria
Description: partial 16S ribosomal RNA
Rfam family: Bacterial small subunit ribosomal RNA
Source: RNAcentral
GACGAACGCUGGCGGCGUGCUUAACACAUGCAAGUCGAACGGAAAGGCCCCCUUGUGGGGUACUCGAGUGGCGAACGGGUGAGUAACACGUGAGUAACCUACCCUUGACUUUGGGAUAACUUCAGGAAACUGGGGCUAAUACCGGAUAGGAGCUCCUGCUGCAUGGUGGGGGUUGGAAAGUUUCGGCGGUUGGGGAUGGACUCGCGGCUUAUCAGCUUGUUGGUGGGGUAGUGGCUCACCAAGGCUUUGACGGGUAGCCGGCCUGAGAGGGUGACCGGCCACAUUGGGACUGAGAUGCGGCCCAGACUCCUACGGGAGGCAGCAGUGGGGAAUAUUGCACAAUGGGCGGAAGCCUGAUGCAGCAACGCUGCGUGCGGGAUGACGGCCUUCGGGUUGUAAACCGCUUUCGCCUGUGACGAAGCGUGAGUGACGGUAAUGGGUAAAGAAGCACCGGCUAACUACGUG